RNAcentral lists this ribosomal RNA (433 nucleotides) under uncultured bacterium. Its description in RNAcentral is "partial 16S ribosomal RNA". It matches the Rfam family "Bacterial small subunit ribosomal RNA", at positions 29 to 507 of the family's 1533-position model. The record is from RNAcentral.
AACGAACGCUGGCGGCAUGCCUAACACAUGCAAGUCGAACGAGACCUUCGGGUCUAGUGGCGCACGGGUGCGUAACGCGUGGUAACCUGCCCUUAGGUUCGGAAUAACUCCCCGAAAGGGGUGCUAAUACCGGAUAAUGUCUUCGCACCAAAGAUUUAUCGCCUUUGGAUGGGCCCGCGUUGGAUUAGCUAGUUGGUAGGGUAAAAGCCUACCAAGGCGACGAUCCAUAGCUGGUAUGAGAGGAUGAUCAGCCACACUGGGACUGAGACACGGCCCAGACUCCUACGGAAGGGAGGAGAGGGGAAUAUUGGACGAGGGGGGAAAGCCUGAUCCAGCAGUGCCGGGUGAGUGGUGAAGGGCUUAGGGUUGUAAAGCUGUUUUACCCGGGAUGAUAGUGACAGUAACGGGAGAAUAAGCACCGGCUAACUCCGUG